CGGCCGCAGCGAUGUCCUGCCUCGGCCGAUGAUAGGCUGAAGCGCCGUGUGACGUACCUGGCUAAAGUAAGUAGGAAGCAGACAACCCAGCCGACCGAUCAGCUGUUGCGGAGCUCCGGGAGAACAUUUGGAGAUUAAGGACAGAGGACUCUCGACUGUAUGCUGGAAUAUUAUAAAGUCUUCAUUAUGGCUUUUCCAAGAAGUCUGCCUUCCUGACGUACACUUUCUCCACAGCAUUAUAUAGAGUGCAAGGUUGACCAACUAAAGAUAAAUCCAGAACUACCUUGAGAAUUGUUUUCCCACCUCUACUAUGGCAUCAGGCAUCCCAGACUAAAAAGUACUGCAUGUUUAUGAUGAUGUUGCUGUCAUGUGCCUUCAAGAGUUACCAGUGGAGCUUGAUGUAGAAAACAACACCACAGUGGAUUCUUCUUUGGAAGUUCACAGGUCCAACACAACAGCAGCAUGUCAAGAUAACACAGCAGGCAACAAUGUGGACAAAGUCACAUUAACUCUCCAAGAAAUUCCUAUUUUGCAACAACCAAGGACUGUAAAUCCAGAUUCAAGUCAACAUCUUAUUGAAGUUGGAAUUCGCCAAGAAAUUCUAAGUUUAAGUGUGAAAGUAAAUUCCAUUCAUGUCAAAAUAUUAGCAAAACAAAUAUUAGCCAAAAUGGUUAAAAAACAGAUCAAAAUAUUAUUUUUGUGAAAAUUGUCUGCUCAUAGUCUAUACUUUGCCCAACAAAAAUUAGAAAAAAAGAAAAAGGCAAAAAUGUUUUUC
This is a long non-coding RNA of Hyla sarda, 775 nucleotides long. RefSeq lists it as uncharacterized. Lineage: Eukaryota; Metazoa; Chordata; Amphibia; Anura; Hylidae. The transcript has 5 exons. The record is from RefSeq and is a predicted model, not a curated record.